Gasterosteus aculeatus aculeatus (three-spined stickleback) is the source of this 1190-nucleotide long non-coding RNA. Lineage: Eukaryota; Metazoa; Chordata; Actinopteri; Perciformes; Gasterosteidae. The record is from Ensembl.
CCCCGGUGCCUCCGUCUCCGCCCUCCUCCCUCCUCAUCUACUACAACCGCUAUGAGCCCCGAUCAAGGCACCGAUUGGCUUCAUCUGCACACUACUGUAACAGUGCAACACGGCACAUUGCUGUCGCCGGGGGGGGGAACUGAUGAGAGGGCAUUAACACUAACAGUGCAGGCCUCGCAAGAGUAGGGCAGAUUUAAAACAUCACAUGGUCUGUGGAGCCAUUGUCGACCCCGUGGCAUGCUGGUUUUUUUUAUACAAAUAAGGAAAGAAAUUUGAAUAUUAACACCAGCGUUGAUGUGUGUCACUACAGUACCCGUCAUACCAUUCAGAUAACAACUCAGCUUGGAGUUAGCAAGUACCCUCCUUCAGCUGGGAAGCAAUACAGCAACAGAUCCCAUAUUCUUUCAUGGAUUUAGGAUAAUCUACAGUAAAUAUAUCUGGAUAUAUGAGGACACAUGUGUGAACCAGGCCAUGACAACAAAGGGCCGGAAGGAGCAAAACAGCGUUGAGUGUGUGGCAGAGAGAGGAGAUGUUUAAGGGAAGGGCACCGAGAAACCACUAUUUGCAUACAGGCAGCAUGGCAAGACGAGAAUGUCACUUUUCAGGAACCAAAACUCGCACUGAAGCAACAGGCAUGACCACACGGCGAGGUCAGUGAUCUCAUUUUCCUCGCGUUCAUCCAGCGCAGCAGCGCUCAGUCUAUCGGCCCGUCCGCAGCUCAGUGCCCCUUCGACCGGGUUUGAAAGUUGGAGAUUGGCGAAGCAGUAUGCCAGGUGUACGAAAACAUCGAAACGACCAGAUCGCGGCAGCAGCGGAAAGUUAGGAUGGAGGAAAAGGGCGUCGGCAUGGAUGAGACGACGACGUGACCUGCUGAGGAGGCUGCCGGGCCGCACGCGAGCCGAAGCUGUUAGACUCCCAUCGAUUUGGCUCCCACUGGCUUACAAGUCUACAUUUGUACGUGUACUUUUUCACAGGGAAAUGGCUUUCGAAUGACACAUCCCAUCACAGCUUGGACACCGUGUGGCUAUUGUGCUUCUUUUCUACGCUUCCACUGUGCAGCUUUAGAGGCAGAAAUAGUAAGCGUGUACUCAAAUUGUAAUCUAAAUUGUUUUAAUAAACUCUUUGAUGUAACAUCAGCUUCACGUCCUGAGGAGACAUCUUAUGAACGCCACAAAAUAAAAGGGAAUUAG